CCCAGGCGUCGAGCGGCGGACGGGUGAGUAACGCGUAGGAAUCUACCCAGUAGUGGGGGACAACUUAGGGAAACUUAAGCUAAUACCGCAUACGCCAUAUUGGGAAAGCUCCGGCGGUGAUAGAUGAGCCUAUGCCUGAUUAGCUAGUUGGUAGGGUAAAAGCCUACCAAGGCAACGAUCAGUAGCUGGUCUGAGAGGAUGAUCAGCCACACUGGGACUGAGACACGGCCCAGACUCC
Molecule: ribosomal RNA, 238 nt
Filed under: uncultured bacterium
Lineage: Bacteria
Description: partial 16S ribosomal RNA
Rfam family: Bacterial small subunit ribosomal RNA
Source: RNAcentral